GGAGAGGUGCGAGAGUGGUUGAAUCGGGCGGUCUCGAAAACCGCUGUGCGCGCAAGUGUACCGUGGGUUCGAAUCCCACCCUCUCCGCCA
Molecule: transfer RNA, 90 nt
Filed under: Chlorobium sp.
Lineage: Bacteria; Pseudomonadati; Chlorobiota; Chlorobiia; Chlorobiales; Chlorobiaceae
Also listed under: 2 other names
Description: tRNA-Ser
Rfam family: tRNA
About the family: Transfer RNA (tRNA) molecules are approximately 80 nucleotides in length. Their secondary structure includes four short double-helical elements and three loops (D, anti-codon, and T loops). Further hydrogen bonds mediate the characteristic L-shaped molecular structure. tRNAs have two regions of fundamental functional importance: the anti-codon, which is responsible for specific mRNA codon recognition, and the 3' end, to which the tRNAs corresponding amino acid is attached (by aminoacyl-tRNA synthetases). tRNAs cope with the degeneracy of the genetic code in two manners: having more than one tRNA (with a specific anti-codon) for a particular amino acid; and 'wobble' base-pairing, i.e. permitting non-standard base-pairing at the 3rd anti-codon position.
Source: RNAcentral